This 91-nucleotide transfer RNA is filed under the name Sulfodiicoccus acidiphilus. RNAcentral describes it as "tRNA-Ser". It matches the Rfam family "tRNA". From Rfam's summary of the family: Transfer RNA (tRNA) molecules are approximately 80 nucleotides in length. Their secondary structure includes four short double-helical elements and three loops (D, anti-codon, and T loops). Further hydrogen bonds mediate the characteristic L-shaped molecular structure. tRNAs have two regions of fundamental functional importance: the anti-codon, which is responsible for specific mRNA codon recognition, and the 3' end, to which the tRNAs corresponding amino acid is attached (by aminoacyl-tRNA synthetases). tRNAs cope with the degeneracy of the genetic code in two manners: having more than one tRNA (with a specific anti-codon) for a particular amino acid; and 'wobble' base-pairing, i.e. permitting non-standard base-pairing at the 3rd anti-codon position. Lineage: Archaea; Thermoproteati; Thermoproteota; Thermoprotei; Sulfolobales; Sulfolobaceae. The record is from RNAcentral.
GCCGCGGUAGUCUAGCCCGGUCUAGAGCCUUCGCCGAGAGGAUGGGGGCCUGUCGAGCCCCUGACCCGGGUUCAAAUCCCGGCCGCGGCGC